CAAGCGGUGGAGCAUGUGGUUUAAUUCGAUGCAACGCGAAGAACCUUACCUGGUCUUGACAUCCACAGAACUUUCCAGAGAUGGAUUGGUGCCUUCGGGAACUGUGAGACAGGUGCUGCAUGGCUGUCGUCAGCUCGUGUUGUGAAAUGUUGGGUUAAGUCCCGCAACGAGCGCAACCCUUAUCCUUUGUUGCCAGCGGUCCGGCCGGGAACUCAAAGGAGACUGCCAGUGAUAAACUGGAGGAAGGUGGGGAUGACGUCAAGUCAUCAUGGCCCUUACGACCAGGGCUACACACGUGCUACAAUGGCGCAUACAAAGAGAAGCGACCUCGCGAGAGCAAGCGGACCUCAUAAAGUGCGUCGUAGUCCGGAUUGGAGUCUGCAACUCGACUCCAUGAAGUCGGAAUCGCUAGUAAUCGUGGAUCAGAAUGCCACGGUGAAUACGUUCCCGGGCCUUGUACACACCGCCCGUCACACCAUGGGAGUGGGUUGCAAAAGAAGUAGGUAGCUUAACCUUCGGGAGGGCGCUUACCACUUUGUGAUUCAUGACUGGGGUGAAGUCGUAACAAGGUAACCGUAGGGGAACCUGCGGUUGGAUCAC
This 600-nucleotide ribosomal RNA is filed under the name Shigella sonnei. Its description in RNAcentral is "bacterial SSU rRNA". It matches the Rfam family "Bacterial small subunit ribosomal RNA", at positions 926 to 1526 of the family's 1533-position model. Lineage: Bacteria; Pseudomonadati; Pseudomonadota; Gammaproteobacteria; Enterobacterales; Enterobacteriaceae. The record is from RNAcentral.